CCUACGGGCGGCAGCAGUGGGGAAUAUUGGACAAUGGGGGGAACCCUGAUCCAGCCAUGCCGCGUGUGUGAAGAAGGCCCUCGGGUUGUAAAGCACUUUCAGUGAGGAAGAACGCCUGGUGGUUAAUACCCAUCAGGAAAGACAUCACUCACAGAAGAAGCACCGGCUAACUCCGUGCCAGCAGCCGCGGUAAUACGGAGGGUGCGAGCGUUAAUCGGAAUUACUGGGCGUAAAGCGCGCGUAGGUGGCUUGAUAAGCCGGUUGUGAAAGACCCGGGCGCAACCUGGGAACGGCAUCCGGAACUGUCAAGCUAGAGUGCAGGAGAGGAAGGUAGAAUUCCCGGUGUAGCGGUGAAAUGCGUAGAGAUCGGGAGGAAUACCAGUGGCGAAGGCGGCCUUCUGGACUGACACUGACACUGAGGUGCGAAAGCGUGGGUAGCAAACAGGAUUAGAUACCCUUGUAGUC
Molecule: ribosomal RNA, 465 nt
Filed under: Vreelandella stevensii
Lineage: Bacteria; Pseudomonadati; Pseudomonadota; Gammaproteobacteria; Oceanospirillales; Halomonadaceae
Description: partial 16S ribosomal RNA
Rfam family: Bacterial small subunit ribosomal RNA
Source: RNAcentral